AGCUCCAAGAGCGUAUAUUAAAGUUGUUGCAGUUAAAAAGCUCGUAGUUGGAUUUCUGGUACAAUGCGCCUGGCCCGCUUUUGUGAGUGCCGGUGCGCGUUUGCCAUCCUUCUAGAAAACGUUUCUACCCGGGCAACUGGGCCGGAUCCGCGAUCUAGAUCUUUUACUUUGAAAAAAUUAGAGUGUUUAAAGCAGGCUUUUGCUGUGAAUACAUUAGCAUGGAAUAAUAAUCUAGGACUUCGGUUCUAUUUUGUUGGUUUCUAGUACUGAAGUAAUGAUUGAUAGGGAUAGUUGGGGGUGCUAGUAUUGGCCGGCCAGAGGUGAAAUUCUUGGAUUCGGUCAAGACUAACUUAUGCGAAAGCAUUCACCAAGGAUGUCUUCU
RNAcentral lists this ribosomal RNA (382 nucleotides) under uncultured eukaryote. RNAcentral's name for it is "SSU rRNA". It matches the Rfam family "Eukaryotic small subunit ribosomal RNA", at positions 587 to 972 of the family's 1831-position model. The record is from RNAcentral.